GUUUGCACCGAGCCCUUGCCGAAGGAUUUGGUGCCGAGAAUGAUGGCGCGUUUAUGAUCUUGCAACGCCCCGGCGACAAUUUCUGAGGCGCUGGCAGAUCCUCUAUUAAUAAGCACAACGAUCGGUUUACCAUCUGUCAGAUCACCCGGCCUCGCAUUGAAGCGCUGAUGUUCUUCUUUAUUGCGGGACCGCGUUGAGACGAUCUCACCCUGAUCCAGAAAAGCAUCGGAAACGGUAACUGCUUGAUCUAACAAGCCACCAGGAUUGUUUC
RNAcentral lists this non-coding RNA (271 nucleotides) under marine eukaryotic metagenome. The record is from RNAcentral.